This is a long non-coding RNA of Mytilus trossulus (common blue mussel), 363 nucleotides long. RefSeq lists it as uncharacterized. Lineage: Eukaryota; Metazoa; Mollusca; Bivalvia; Mytilida; Mytilidae. The transcript is spliced from 3 exons. The record is from RefSeq and is a predicted model, not a curated record.
UUCAAAUAAUAAGCGGUCAUAGCUUGUAACGCACAAAUAAAGAAUGGAUACUCUUUCAAUGAAAGAAAAUUGAUAGGAUUGAUAAAUAGCAGUACUAUCAGAAUUGGUAAAACAAUACCAAUUAUACCGGAUGAUGAGUUUUACUGUGUACACAGGAACCUCCGAGAAGAGACAUUGCCAUGGAUUAUACCAAACGAUAUUCCAACAAAACUUGGAAGUACAACUAUAAUUAGAAAGAGAACAGCUGGAAAAACAACACAGUUACAAUGUAAAUGAAAUCCGAAGAUUCUUUUGUACUACAUAGACUGAUGGAAACGAAAAAUAAUGUGCAAAAAAUACGAAAAAAGAACUUCAGUAAAAUUU